UUACGACGCCAUUUUCAGCUCACUGUCGUGCUGCCAUGUCGUGUCGCGCUCAAUGUGUUCAGCACAUCAGUCGCCGGCGCAAUAAGUACCGAAAGUCGGUAACCGACUACUACUUACCUACCGAGUAUCGUAUUUUUUGAUUUUAUAACUUCACACGGAAAUAUCUCGGAAAUAUCUCGGAAAUGAUGAGAUUUACGUCAUUUUUUCAAAGAGUAAUUAUUAGAUAAGUAAGAGUACUUAGUUUUAGAUAAUAUUUUCUAUCGAUUGGCCUAGGUUUCUAUUGACCUGUACACAAAAAAAAAAUACAUUUCAUGUAUUUACAAGUUAAGAUAUGUUUGGCUCCAUACAAAAAGGUUCGAUAGGGCACCGUACGUAUACAGAAGGUGAUAUUUGUUAUUGAUACUAAUCAUCUACAUAUAUUAAAAAUGAAACGCCAUCAUCUUAAUGGCGCGCAAAAACGCAAACAGGCAGAGCUGAAGAAGAAAAAAAACAGAUGCACUCCCAAAAAUGAAAUUUUUUUUUCCAACCAAUCAGUUAGAAUCUGGUAAAGAUAAUAAUGAAUGUCAAGAAUCUCAAUCUUUAUCAUCUGCUUUCUUGAUAAAAACAGUACUACAGACGAUGAAAUAAAUAGCGAAAUUAAAACACCUGUUCCUGUUCCCGAUAAAUCUGAACCUGUUAUUGUUGCGAUUCCUGAAGUUUCAAAAAUUGAAAUCGUAAAUUCCAAUAAAAAGACAGAUGCUGGGCUGUGGACGGAA
Bactrocera neohumeralis is the source of this 755-nucleotide long non-coding RNA. RefSeq lists it as uncharacterized. NCBI's taxonomy places the organism in Eukaryota, Metazoa, Arthropoda, Insecta, Diptera, Tephritidae. The record is from RefSeq and is a predicted model, not a curated record. The transcript is spliced from 2 exons.